Molecule: ribosomal RNA, 253 nt
Filed under: uncultured bacterium
Lineage: Bacteria
Description: partial 16S ribosomal RNA
Rfam family: Bacterial small subunit ribosomal RNA
Source: RNAcentral
UACGGAGGGGGCUAGCGUUGUUCGGAAUCACUGGGCGUAAAGGGCGCGUAGGCGGCCUGAUAAGUAGGGGGUGAAAUCCUGCGGCUUAACCGCAGGGCUGCCUUCUAAACUGUCAGGCUAGAGCACAGUAGAGGCAGGUGGAAUUCCCGGUGUAGCGGUGGAAUGCGUAGAGAUCGGGAAGAACAUCAGUGGCGAAGGCGGCCUGCUGGGCUGUUGCUGACGCUGAGGCGCGACAGCGUGGGGAGCAAACAGG